Molecule: ribosomal RNA, 465 nt
Filed under: uncultured bacterium
Lineage: Bacteria
Description: partial 16S ribosomal RNA
Rfam family: Bacterial small subunit ribosomal RNA
Source: RNAcentral
AUGAACGCUGGCGGCGUGCUUAACACAUGCAAGUCGAACGGAAAGGCUCCUGCUUGCAGGGGCACUCGAGUGGCGAACGGGUGAGUAACACGUGGGUGAUCUGCCCUGCACUUCGGGAUAAGCCUGGGAAACUGGGUCUAAUACCGGAUAGGACCAUCGUUUAGUGUCGGUGGUGGAAAGUUUUUUCGGUGUGGGAUGAGCUCGCGGCCUAUCAGCUUGUUGGUGGGGUAAUGGCCUACCAAGGCGUCGACGGGUAGCCGGCCUGAGAGGGUGUACGGCCACAUUGGGACUGAGAUACGGCCCAGACUCCUACGGGAGGCAGCAGUGGGGAAUAUUGCACAAUGGGCGCAAGCCUGAUGCAGCGACGCCGCGUGGGGGAUGACGGCCUUCGGGUUGUAAACUCCUUUCGCCAGGGACGAAGCGAAAGUGACGGUACCUGGAGAAGAAGCACCGGCUAACUACGUG